GGGGAUAACACUUGGAAACAGGUGCUAAUACCGCAUAACCAUAGUUACCGCAUGGUAACUAUGUAAAAGGUGGCUAUGCUACCGCUUUUGGAUGGGCCCGCGGCGCAUUAGCUAGUUGGUGGGGUAAAGGCUUACCAAGGCAAUGAUGCGUAGCCGAACUGAGAGGUUGAUCGGCCACAUUGGGACUGAGACACGGCCCAAACUCCUACGGGAGGCAGCAGUAGGGAAUCUUCCACAAUGGGCGAAAGCCUGAUGGAGCAACGCCGCGUGGGUGAAGAAGGUCUUCGGAUCGUAAAACCCUGUUGUUAGAGAAGAAAGUGCGUGAGAGUAACUGUUCACGUUUCGACGGUAUCUAACCAGAAAGCCACGGCUAACUACGUGCCAGCAGCCGCGGUAAUACGUAGGUGGCAAGCGUUAUCCGGAUUUAUUGGGCGUAAAGGGAACGCAGGCGGUCUUUUAAGUCUGAUGUGAAAGCCUGCGGCUUAACCGGAGUAGUGCAUUGGAAACUGGGAGACUUGAGUGCAGAAGAGGAGAGUGGAACUCCAUGUGUAGCGGUGAAAUGCGUAGAUAUAUGGAAGAACACCAGUGGCGAAAGCGGCUCUCUGGUCUGUAACUGACGCUGAGGUUCGAAAGCGUGGGUAGCAAACAGGAUUAGAUACCCUGGUAGUCCACGCCGUAAACGAUGAA
Molecule: ribosomal RNA, 687 nt
Filed under: uncultured bacterium
Lineage: Bacteria
Description: bacterial SSU rRNA
Rfam family: Bacterial small subunit ribosomal RNA
Source: RNAcentral